CCUACGGGAGGCAGCAGUGGGGAAUCUUAGACAAUGGGCGCAAGCCUGAUCUAGCCAUGCCGCGUGAGUGACGAAGGCCUUAGGGUCGUAAAGCUCUUUCGCCAGAGAUGAUAAUGACAGUAUCUGGUAAAGAAACCCCGGCUAACUCCGUGCCAGCAGCCGCGGUAAUACGGAGGGGGUUAGCGUUGUUCGGAAUUACUGGGCGUAAAGCGUACGUAGGCGGAUUGGAAAGUAUGGGGUGAAAUCCCAGGGCUCAACCCUGGAACUGCCCUGUAAACUAUCAGUCUAGAGUUCGAGAGAGGUGAGUGGAAUUCCAAGUGUAGAGGUGAAAUUCGUAGAUAUUUGGAGGAACACCAGUGGCGAAGGCGGCUCACUGGCUCGAUACUGACGCUGAGGUACGAAAGUGUGGGGAGCAAACAGGAUUAGAUACCCCAGUAGUC
RNAcentral lists this ribosomal RNA (440 nucleotides) under uncultured bacterium. Its description in RNAcentral is "bacterial SSU rRNA". It matches the Rfam family "Bacterial small subunit ribosomal RNA", at positions 338 to 795 of the family's 1533-position model. The record is from RNAcentral.